AUACUUACCUGGCAGGGGAGAUACCAUGAUCACGAAGGUGGUUUUCCCAGUGCGAGGCUUACCCACUGCACUCCGGAUGUGCUGACCCCUGCGAGUUCCCCAAAUGCGGGAAACUCUUUGGGGUAGUGGGGGACUGCGUUUCUGCUUUCCCCUA
This 154-nucleotide small nuclear RNA is filed under the name Saimiri boliviensis boliviensis (Bolivian squirrel monkey). Its description in RNAcentral is "U1 spliceosomal RNA (ENSSBOG00000005734.1)". It matches the Rfam family "U1 spliceosomal RNA". From Rfam's summary of the family: U1 is a small nuclear RNA (snRNA) component of the spliceosome (involved in pre-mRNA splicing). Lineage: Eukaryota; Metazoa; Chordata; Mammalia; Primates; Cebidae. The record is from Rfam by way of RNAcentral.